Molecule: ribosomal RNA, 255 nt
Filed under: uncultured bacterium
Lineage: Bacteria
Description: partial 16S ribosomal RNA
Rfam family: Bacterial small subunit ribosomal RNA
Source: RNAcentral
UACAGAGGGUGCAAGCGUUGUUCGGAAUUAUUGGGCGUAAAGCGCGUGUAGGCGGCAUGGCAAGUCGGGUGUGAAAGCCCUCAGCUUAACUGAGGAAGUGCGCCCGAAACUGCCGUGCUUGAGUGCCGGAGAGGGUGGCGGAAUUCCCCAAGUAGAGGUGAAAUUCGUAAGAUAUGGGGAGGAACACCGGUGGCGAAGGCGGCCGACCUGGACGGUAACUGACGCUGAGACGCGAAAGCGUGGGGAGCAAACAGG